Molecule: ribosomal RNA, 492 nt
Filed under: uncultured bacterium
Lineage: Bacteria
Description: partial 16S ribosomal RNA
Rfam family: Bacterial small subunit ribosomal RNA
Source: RNAcentral
AGUGAACGCUGGCGGUAGGCCUAACACAUGCAAGUCGAACGGCAGCACAGUAAGAGCCUGCUCUUACGGGUGGCGAGUGGCGGACGGGUGAGGAAUACAUCGGAAUCUACUUUUUCGUGGGGGAUAACGUAGGGAAACUUACGCUAAUACCGCAUACGACCUACGGGUGAAAGCAGGGGAUCUUCGGACCUUGCGCGAUUGAAUGAGCCGAUGUCGGAUUAGCUAGUUGGCGGGGUAAAGGCCCACCAAGGCGACGAUCCGUAGCUGGUCUGAGAGGAUGAUCAGCCACACUGGAACUGAGACACGGUCCAGACUCCUACGGGAGGCAGCAGUGGAGAAUAUUGGACAAUGGGCGCAAGCCUGAUCCAGCCAUACCGCGUGGGUGAAGAAGGCCUUCGGGUUGUAAAGCCCUUUUGUUGGGAAAGAAAAGCAGCAGGUUAAUACCCCGCUGUUCUGACGGUACCCAAAGAAUAAGCACCGGCUAACUUCGUG